RNAcentral lists this ribosomal RNA (355 nucleotides) under uncultured bacterium. RNAcentral describes it as "bacterial SSU rRNA". It matches the Rfam family "Bacterial small subunit ribosomal RNA", at positions 30 to 390 of the family's 1533-position model. The record is from RNAcentral.
AUUGAACGCUGGCGGCAUGCCUUACACAUGCAAGUCGAACGGCAGCACGGGAGCAAUCCUGGUGGCGAGUGGCGAACGGGUGAGUAAUAUAUCGGAACGUGCCCAGUCGUGGGGAUAACGUAGCGAAGCUACGCUAAUACCGCAUACGAUCUACGGAUGAAAGCGGGGGAUCGCAAGACCUCGCGCGAUUGGAGCGGCCGAUAUCAGAUUAGGUAGUUGGUGAGGUAAAGGCUCACCAAGCCGACGAUCUGUAGCUGGUCUGAGAGGACGACCAGCCACACUGGGACUGAGACACGGCCCAGACUCCUACGGAGCAGCAGUGGGAAUUUGGGACAAUGGGCGCAAGCCUGAUCCA